GCCUAACUAGUGUAACGGUAGCGCACUCGACCUGUAUUUGAGAGAUCCAGGUUCUAGUCCUGGCGAAAGCA
RNAcentral lists this transfer RNA (71 nucleotides) under Stegodyphus mimosarum. It matches the Rfam family "tRNA". Rfam says of the family: Transfer RNA (tRNA) molecules are approximately 80 nucleotides in length. Their secondary structure includes four short double-helical elements and three loops (D, anti-codon, and T loops). Lineage: Eukaryota; Metazoa; Arthropoda; Arachnida; Araneae; Eresidae. The record is from Rfam by way of RNAcentral.